UGAAUGAUCGGUGCUUGCACCGAGAUUCACUGGAACGAGUGGCGGACGGGUGAGUAACACGUGGGUAACCUGCCCUUAAGUGGGGGAUAACAUUUGGAAACAGAUGCUAAUACCGCAUAGAUCCAAGAACCGCAUGGUUCUUGGCUGAAAGAUGGCGUAAGCUAUCGCUUUUGGAUGGACCCGCGGCGUAUUAKCUAGUUGGUGAGGUAAUGGCUCACCAAGGCGAUGAUACGUAGCCGAACUGAGAGGUUGAUCGGCCACAUUGGGACUGAGACACGGCCCAAACUCCUACGGGAGGCAGCAGUAGGGAAUCUUCCACAAUGGACGCAAGUCUGAUGGAGCAACGCCGCGUGAGUGAAGAAGGCUUUCGGGUCGUAAAACUCUGUUGUUGGAGAAGAAUGGUCGGCAGAGUAACUGUUGUCGGCGUGACGGUAUCCAACCAGAAAGCCACGGCUAACUACGUGCCAGCAGCCGCGGUAAUACGUAGGUGGCAAGCGUUAUCCGGAUUUAUUGGGCGUAAAGCGAGCGCAGGCGGUUUUUUAAGUCUGAUGUGAAACGCCCCUCGGCUUAACCCGAGGGAAGCGCAUCCGGAAACUGGGGAAAACUUGAGUGCAGAAGAGGACAGUGGAACUCCCAUGUGURGCGGUGAAAUGCGUAGAUAUAUGGAAGAACACCAGUGGCGAAGGCGGCUGUCUGGUCUGUAACUGACGCUGAGGCUCGAAAGCAUGGGUAGCGAACAGGAUUAGAUACCCUGGUAGUCCAUGCCGUAAACGAUGAAUGCUAGGUGUUGGAGGGUUUCCGCCCUUCAGUGCCGCAGCUAACGCAUUAAGCAUUCCGCSUGGGGAGUACGACCGCAAGGUUGAAACUCAAAGGAAUUGACGGGGGCCCGCACAAGCGGUGGAGCAUGUSGWUUAAUUCGAAGCRACGCGAAGAACCUUACCAGGUCUUGACAUCUUUUGAUCASCUGAGAGAUCAGGUUUCCCCUUCGGGGGCMAAAUGACAGGUGGUGCAUGGUUGUCGUCAGCUCGUGUCGUGAGAUGUUGGGUUAAGUCCCGCAACGAGCGCAACCCUUAUGACUAGUUGCCAGCAUUUAGUUGGGCACUCUAGUAAGACUGCCGGUGACAAACCGGAGGAAGGUGGGGAUGACGUCAAAUCAUCAUGCCCCUUAUGACCUGGGCUACACACGUGCUACAAUGGAUGGUACAACGAGUUGCGAGACCGCGAGGUCAAGCUAAUCUCUUAAAGCCAUUCUCAGUUCGGACUGUAGGCUGCAACUCGCCUACACGAAGUCGGAAUCGCU
RNAcentral lists this ribosomal RNA (1300 nucleotides) under Lacticaseibacillus paracasei subsp. tolerans. Its description in RNAcentral is "bacterial SSU rRNA". Lineage: Bacteria; Bacillati; Bacillota; Bacilli; Lactobacillales; Lactobacillaceae. The record is from RNAcentral.